RNAcentral lists this ribosomal RNA (583 nucleotides) under Hanseniaspora uvarum. RNAcentral describes it as "partial large subunit ribosomal RNA". It matches the Rfam family "Eukaryotic large subunit ribosomal RNA", at positions 73 to 671 of the family's 3401-position model. The record is from RNAcentral. Lineage: Eukaryota; Fungi; Ascomycota; Saccharomycetes; Saccharomycodales; Saccharomycodaceae.
AAUACCUUAGGUACGGCGAGUGAAGCGGUAAAAGCUCAAAUUUGAAAUCUGGUACUUUCAGUGCCCGAGUUGUAAUUUGUAGAAUUUGUCUUUGAUUAGGUCCUUGUCUAUGUUCCUUGGAACAGGACGUCAUAGAGGGUGAGAAUCCCGUUUGGCGAGGAUACCUUUUCUCUGUAAGACUUUUUCGAAGAGUCGAGUUGUUUGGGAAUGCAGCUCAAAGUGGGUGGUAAAUUCCAUCUAAAGCUAAAUAUUGGCGAGAGACCGAUAGCGAACAAGUACAGUGAUGGAAAGAUGAAAAGAACUUUGAAAAGAGAGUGAAAAAGUACGUGAAAUUGUUGAAAGGGAAGGGCAUUUGAUCAGACAUGGUGUUUUUUGCAUGCACUCGCCUCUCGUGGGCUUGGGCCUCUCAAAAAUUUCACUGGGCCAACAUCAAUUCUGGCAGCAGGAUAAAUCAUUAAGAAUGUAGCUACUUCGGUAGUGUUAUAGCUUUUUGGAAUACUGUUAGCCGGGAUUGAGGACUGCGCUUCGGCAAGGAUGUUGGCAUAAUGGUUAAGUGCCGCCCGUCUUGACACAGGGACCUACA